RNAcentral lists this ribosomal RNA (465 nucleotides) under uncultured bacterium. RNAcentral describes it as "partial 16S ribosomal RNA". It matches the Rfam family "Bacterial small subunit ribosomal RNA", at positions 28 to 507 of the family's 1533-position model. The record is from RNAcentral.
GACGAACGCUGGCGGCGUGCUUAACACAUGCAAGUCGUACGGUAAGGCCCUUUCGGGGGUACACGAGUGGCGAACGGGUGAGUAACACGUGAGUAACCUGCCCACAACUUUGGGAUAACGCUAGGAAACUGGUGCUAAUACUGGAUAUGUGCCCCUGCUGCAUGGUGGGGGUUGGAAAGCUCCGGCGGUUGUGGAUGGACUCGCGGCCUAUCAGCUUGUUGGUGGGGUAGUGGCCUACCAAGGCGGCGACGGGUAGCCGGCCUGAGAGGGUGACCGGCCACAUUGGGACUGAGAUACGGCCCAGACUCCUACGGGAGGCAGCAGUGGGGAAUAUUGCACAAUGGGCGCAAGCCUGAUGCAGCAACGCCGCGUGCGGGAUGACGGCCUUCGGGUUGUAAACCGCUUUCAGCAGGGACGAAGCUUUUUAUGACGGUACCUGCAGAAGAAGCACCGGCUAACUACGUG